RNAcentral lists this unclassified non-coding RNA (381 nucleotides) under Axonopus longispicus. Its description in RNAcentral is "partial external transcribed spacer". The record is from RNAcentral. Lineage: Eukaryota; Viridiplantae; Streptophyta; Magnoliopsida; Poales; Poaceae.
GUGUCCCUUCUAUCUAUGGCUGUUUUGCCCGACUGCAUUUAUGAGUGCUUGUGUGCUGCUACCAGACAUAUUGGAAGUUGCAUUCGACACAUGUUGCGUUUGUCGUUCUCGCCCUAUGGCUCUGCACGUCGACAUGAAAGCUUCCCAGCGGUUGCCUCGGGUAGCCAGCUGCUAAGCCUGCCUUCCCCCAGGAACCCUUUGUGGAAGCCUUUGGGCCUGGAAGGGGGUUAACAAAAAAGGCCGAUGGGCCUUUGCCCCCCCGUGCCCUGCAAAAAUUGCCCAACCGGAAAAUAACGACACCGGGCCAAGUUAAGCCCUUGGGCGAAGCCUUGGCCUGCUCCGCCAACAGAGGACUGGCUAACUGGGUGAACCCGCCAGUAG